Molecule: ribosomal RNA, 32 nt
Filed under: Bulbophyllum cantagallense
Lineage: Eukaryota; Viridiplantae; Streptophyta; Magnoliopsida; Asparagales; Orchidaceae
Also listed under: 2 other names
Description: partial 28S ribosomal RNA
Source: RNAcentral
GCGACCCCAGGAUGGGCGAGGCCACCCGCUGA